UUAUUAUGAUGAGAUUCUACUUUAUGGUCCGUGUUUCUGAAACAUGAUUUUGUGGAACUUCUGAUUCU
Molecule: small nucleolar RNA, 68 nt
Organism: Rhinolophus ferrumequinum (greater horseshoe bat)
Lineage: Eukaryota; Metazoa; Chordata; Mammalia; Chiroptera; Rhinolophidae
Gene: SNORD18
Rfam family: Small nucleolar RNA SNORD18
About the family: U18 is a member of the C/D class of snoRNA which contain the C (UGAUGA) and D (CUGA) box motifs.
Source: Ensembl